This 112-nucleotide transfer RNA is filed under the name Gymnopilus junonius. RNAcentral's name for it is "tRNA-Ser". It matches the Rfam family "tRNA". Rfam says of the family: Transfer RNA (tRNA) molecules are approximately 80 nucleotides in length. Their secondary structure includes four short double-helical elements and three loops (D, anti-codon, and T loops). The record is from RNAcentral. Lineage: Eukaryota; Fungi; Basidiomycota; Agaricomycetes; Agaricales; Galerinaceae.
GUCACUUUGCCGGAGUGGUUAACGGGAUCGCCUGCUAUACAGUAUUACUAGAGUGUAUCUGUAGCUCAGCGGUUGGGCUUUGCCCGCGAGUGUUCGAAUCGCUCAGGUGACG